Molecule: long non-coding RNA, 1212 nt
Organism: Oreochromis niloticus (Nile tilapia)
Lineage: Eukaryota; Metazoa; Chordata; Actinopteri; Cichliformes; Cichlidae
Exons: 4
Source: RefSeq, a predicted model, not a curated record
UAACAUAGCACACAAGACUAUCAAAGUAAAACAGCAAACAAGAGACUUUUACAAAGACACAGAGUUGACACAGAGACAUGACUGACUGGGGAGAAAUUGGGGAACAUGGAAAGAAGAAUGACUAGACAUGACACGUGGGACACAGGGGCAAGGCAAAGUAACAGAAACCUAAAGCCUAAGAAUAUAACACAAGAAGAAAACAAUAAAGAGAACCAAAAACAUACAUAAGAAUAAUCAAUGAAUAUAAAUGAACAAACACAAAACACUGGGUCACAGACUCAGUACCAUGACAGUUAAAUGUACAAUAAUAAAUACUUUAAAUCAGAUGACAAUGUAGCUGACACUGUGUUUAUUAGUGUGUGGUCAACCACAAAUCUUCAUACUGUCAUCCAUACAUGAGGUCUUAUACAAACGAUGAAAGAUAAUGAAAGAAACUGUUUAAUUGAUAUGAAAUGAUUGAAUUAUAUGAAAUAUUAUGGCUUUGUCUGCCAGAGUGUUUUUCUGUAAACUACUUUGAACUACUGGCAGUCAGUGAAGUCACUGAAAGGCAAGAUUCUAUGUUGUGUUGCCGUAGUUUCCAGAGUUUACUUAUAAAGCUCACUUACAGAAUUCAGUUAGAAAAGUCAAGCAUUUGAAGGAAUAUUAACUCAAUAUUAACUCAUUACGGUUUACAUUUUCGAGUUUAAAAGUUCUCCGAAAUUACAAUGAAAAAGGAAACAAGAAAAAUUACCACUCCAGCCGAUAAGAAAGAUUCAGGAGAUCAAGAUUGUAAGAGCAGGACUGCUAAAAGAAAGGCCAGUCCUGAAAAGAAGACCCCAAUAAAAAGGAGGAGGGUCGCUGAGCAGGCUGGUCCUUCCACCAGCUCAGAUGUGGUCAAAGGAGUGAAGCGCAAGGUUGUGCAAGAUGAAGAGGCACAACAAAGAAAGCAAAGAAGGCUAAACUUCUCGACCAUAUGAGCGGUGACAAGGAGCAAGCAUCCUCCUUGUUGGACUCUGGUAAAGACUUGAAUAACAAACAGGUGUGCGCAAAAAAUGGCAAAAGAAAGGCCGCGGGAGACAACAGAGAGUCACCCAAGAAAAAAAAAGGAAUGUGGACCAGGACAAAAAUCAGUGGCAGACCAAAAACGUGAAUUCCAAGCCAGAUAUGUGGAGGAGCACCAGCUCGGAGAAGGAGGCUGCGGAGCAGUGUUUGCUGGCUACCGGAUAGAAGAUC